UACGUAGGGGGCAAGCGUUAUCCGGAUUUACUGGGUGUAAAGGGAGCGUAGACGGCUGUGCAAGCCAGAUGUGAAAGCCCGGGGCUCAACCCCGGGACUGCAUUUGGAACUGCGUGGCUUGAGUGUCGGAGAGGCAGGCGGAAUUCCUAGUGUAGCGGUGAAAUGCGUAGAUAUUAGGAGGAACACCAGUGGCGAAGGCGGCCUGCUGGACGAUGACUGACGUUGAGGCUCGAAAGCGUGGGGAGCAAACAGG
RNAcentral lists this ribosomal RNA (253 nucleotides) under uncultured bacterium. Its description in RNAcentral is "partial 16S ribosomal RNA". It matches the Rfam family "Bacterial small subunit ribosomal RNA", at positions 524 to 776 of the family's 1533-position model. The record is from RNAcentral.